This 439-nucleotide ribosomal RNA is filed under the name uncultured bacterium. RNAcentral describes it as "partial 16S ribosomal RNA". It matches the Rfam family "Bacterial small subunit ribosomal RNA", at positions 338 to 795 of the family's 1533-position model. The record is from RNAcentral.
CCUACGGGUGGCAGCAGUGGGGAAUAUUGCACAAUGGGCGAAAGCCUGAAGCAGCAACGCCGCGUGAGCGAUGAAGGCCUUCGGGUCGUAAAGCCCUGUUCUCAAGGAAGCUAAUGACGGUACUUGAGGAGGAAGCCCCGGCUAACUACGUGCAAGCAGCCGCGGUAAUACGUAGGGGGCUAGCGUUAUUCGGAAUUACUGGGCGUAAAGGGUGCGUAGGUGGAUUCUUAAGUCAGAGGUGAAAGGGUACGGCUCAACCGUAGUAAGCCGUUGAAACUGGGAAACUUGAGUGCAGGAGAGGAAAGUGGAAUUCCUGGUGUAGCGGUGAAAUGCGUAGAUAUUAGGAAGAACACCAGUUGCGAAGGCGGCACUCUGGACUGUAACUGACGCUGAGGCACGAAAGCGUGGGGAGCGAACAGGAUUAGAUACCCGUGUAGUC